GAUAUACGCAAUUUGAUAUUAUAUGCUACACCAAAUACAAUCUCUGCAUUAUCGCAUUACAACACAAACGGUCUAUAGCGACACUUUUAAAUAUCGGUACAAGUAAAAAAAAAAUAAUGCUGGCUAAAUUACCGAUACUUUUAAAAAGUGUUGCUUUAUGUGGGGUCGCUAGGUAUAUAGUGACAGUUAAAAAGUGUCGCUAUAACAUAAAAAGAGUGCUGCUAAUUUAACAAUACUUAUUUAAGCAUCUAGCAACCGCCAAAACUCUACUUUGUUGGCUGCGGUGGCGGAGGAGUACGAGAGGGAAGGGCCCUUCGUGCGGUGGUGGAGGAGUACGAGAGGGAAGGGCCCUUCGUCUAGAAUUUUAGUAGAAUGAGUGAGAGGAGAAGGGAAGAUGGUAAUCGAUUUUUCUUUGUUUUUUUUUCUGUUUGUAAUCGGGCCAAAUGGGUUGGGUUGGAUGGGUUGAGUAGAGUAACCUUUUANCGGUGGUGGAGGAGUACGAGAGGGAAGGGCCCUUCGUCUAGAAUUUUAGUAGAAUGAGUGAGAGGAGAAGGGAAGAUGGUAAUCGAUUUUUUUUUUUUUUUUUUUUCUGUUUGUAAUCGGGCCAAAUGGGCUAGGUUGAGUGGGUUGAGUAGAGUAAUUUUUUAUUUUUGUUGGAUUCGGCUUUAUAUUUAGACAUUAGUAAAUAUUUUUUUAAAUUUUGGCAUAAAUAGGACAUUUAGACAAAAAUGUCCCAAACAUGUGUCGUUAUAAUCUAAUUCUGUUGUAGUGUAUAUCUCAAAAAGCGCCUUAGAGU
RNAcentral lists this long non-coding RNA (796 nucleotides) under Ananas comosus (pineapple). RNAcentral describes it as "long non-coding RNA (ACOM_LNC036126)". The record is from RNAcentral. Lineage: Eukaryota; Viridiplantae; Streptophyta; Magnoliopsida; Poales; Bromeliaceae.